Molecule: long non-coding RNA, 1659 nt
Organism: Amphibalanus amphitrite
Lineage: Eukaryota; Metazoa; Arthropoda; Thecostraca; Balanomorpha; Balanidae
Exons: 3
Source: RefSeq, a predicted model, not a curated record
AAGGAUUUCAUGGAAAGGAAAAACUUUGUCGAUUUUCAUUUUGAGCAUUUUAUAUAAUUUUCAAGAAAAAACUCGUUAAAAGGGUUUUAUUUACCUUUUCUUAUUCAAACAUAUUCAAAUCAAAGGCGAUAAAUUGUUAAUCAGCAAAUUUGUGGUACAAGACAAUACUUUUUUUACUUCAAGGGAAGUGGUAAAGGGAAGGCCUGCGGGCCAAUCUCUUCAACACUAGUGAAGGUGGGAAGGUGAAGGAAAAUGGUAUUUCGUGAAGGGUUUUGAUUUUCUACCACAUUCUGAAUGCUUCCAGUUCUGUAUCAAACACGACGCGAUAAAGUAGAAGACUUCUUUUUUGUGUAUGAGAUUGUUGUAUCUGACAAGAUUCUUACAGAUAGUAUCUGACACGUAAAUGUGAUGUUACUGGAUUGGCGGUACUGAGAUUAAACUAGUUCUCAUUUGCUCGGUCCGUGUGGACUAUUAUUUAUUGGUUUUCAUGGUGGUGAAUUGAUAUUUAACAGUGCUUGAACCUAUUAAGUACCAAUCAACACAAUGCAGUAUGCUGGGAGCACAAAAUGAAGGCAUCCGUGGAAGGAACAGCAAUGCUGGGAGCAGGCGGUUCGCAGAAAGUGAUCAAGUGCGCAAGCCACCAGCCAGCUGACGCAGAGCCUAGAGGGCGUUCGCCACCAACAUCCGCACGGCGCAGCUGCAGAGGUGAUUUCUGCCAUGGAGCAGCAUCCGCGGCUCCAUGACAUCAUCCUUCCAUCAUUCUCCAUCAUCAUUCCCGGAGCUCACCCGGCGACGCCCGCGCCCCGCCUGGCCGUCCAGCCUGCGCGCUCCGCCGCGCGCCGCGGGCCUGGCUCGCCGAGACGUCCGGCUUAGGUCGGCGUUUGAGGCGCGGCGGGGGGCAACGUCUCUGUGCCCUGCUCCGGGUCCCCGCCGCCUGCGGUCUCUUCUGCUGCCGCCACUGAGGGGAGCGGCUCUUCUUUGAAGACAUCAUCGGUCGACGGUGAUGCUGGCGGGCCGGUGGCGGCGUGCCCCGUCGGCAGCGCGCCUCGGGAGGACGCUGGUGACGACGAAUCUUCAUCGCCGUCGGCACCGGUCACGAGCGAGUCGCUGUUUAGUUGGCCAGCUACUGUGCCAAAAAGUGCGACUGUGGCCAGACUGGUAUACGAUUUGUCAGUGCUUACGCCCCUCUUGCCGUGCCGGCCGUGCUCUUUGCCGUCUAUUGGGGAUGCGUUAGAGUUAUCGUUUUGGGGUUUAUACCGGUAUCAAGAUUGAUUUAAAAGAUGGAUUUUAUCACAUUUCUCGCGCACGUUCCACACGUCCUUUUGGUGUUUUGUAUGAUGGUAAAACGUGCUUAUACCUUUUCUCUGUUACCAAUGGGCCAUAUUAGGUACUGCAUCUCCUGCAUUAUUAGGUAGAGAUGCAGUACCAUUAUUAGGUACUGCAUUAUUAGGUACUGAAGGAGAUGCAGUUAGGUACUGCAGCAGUACCUAACAGAUGCUUUCAGUGAACUUGUAGAGUCGAGAUUUAACGUCAGGUGUGAGGUGUUUGGCGUAUUUAGAUUAUUUUCUUUUUAUGUCCAAGGACGCUGAAUGGUAUCGCUGCGUUUCUGACUAGUGUUGGGUUGUGUAUUAAUUUCAAUAAAUUAGUUCUCGUUCCGUC